UUGAAAUACACAUGCAUGCUCCAAAUUUUAAAUUCCAACAAAUCUCAUGGUUAAAUUGAGUAAAACUGUAUAAAAAAUAAUAAUACUAUAAUAGCAUUUAAAAUUUUAAUCCCACUCUAUUUGCUCUAUAGCUUACAUAUUGAAUUCCAUACUAAAUUUAGAUCGGGUUGGAUCAAAUCGAGUCCUAAUUCAGUAAACCC
RNAcentral lists this long non-coding RNA (200 nucleotides) under Elaeis guineensis (African oil palm). RNAcentral's name for it is "long non-coding RNA (EGUI_LNC033543)". Lineage: Eukaryota; Viridiplantae; Streptophyta; Magnoliopsida; Arecales; Arecaceae. The record is from RNAcentral.